Molecule: ribosomal RNA, 425 nt
Filed under: uncultured Spirosoma sp.
Lineage: Bacteria; Pseudomonadati; Bacteroidota; Cytophagia; Cytophagales; Cytophagaceae
Description: bacterial SSU rRNA
Rfam family: Bacterial small subunit ribosomal RNA
Source: RNAcentral
GUAGGGAAUAUUGGGCAAUGGAGGCAACUCUGACCCAGCCAUGCCGCGUGCAGGACGAAGGCGCUCAGCGUUGUAAACUGCUUUUAUCUGGGAAGAACUGUGGGAUUGCGAUCUUACCUGACGGUACCAGAGGAAUCAGCACCGGCUAACUCCGUGCCAGCAGCCGCGGUAAUACGGAGGGUGCGAGCGUUGUCCGGAUUUAUUGGGUUUAAAGGGUGCGUAGGUGGUGGUCUAAGUCUGGUUUGAAAGCUGGUCGCUUAACGAUCAGAUGUGGCUGGAAACUGGGCCACUUGAAUGAGUUGGCGGUAGCUGGAACGGGUCAUGUAGCGGUGAAAUGCAUAGAUAUGACCCAGAACCCCGAUUGCGAAGGCAGGCUACUACGACUUGAUUGACACUGAGGCACGAGAGCAUGGGGAGCCAACAGG